Molecule: ribosomal RNA, 109 nt
Filed under: Mycoplasmataceae bacterium
Lineage: Bacteria; Bacillati; Mycoplasmatota; Mollicutes; Mycoplasmatales; Mycoplasmataceae
Source: RNAcentral
UAACGUGCUCAUAUUUAUAGUGGACACACCUGUUCCCAUCCCGAACACAGCCGUUAAGCACUAUAAAGCCGAAGGUAGCAUUCAUUUGUUAGAAUAGGUCGUGCGUUAU